UAAGGAAUAUUGGUCAAUGGACGCAAGUCUGAACCAGCCAUGCCGCGUGAAGGAUGAAGGUCCUCUGGAUUGUAAACUUCUUUUAUCUGGGACGAAAACGGGAUUUUUAUCUCAAUUGACGGUACCAGAGGAAUAAGCACCGGCUAACUCCGUGCCAGCAGCCGCGGUAAUACGGAGGGUGCGAGCGUUAUCCGGAUUUACUGGGUUUAAAGGGUGCGUAGGUGGGCUUAUAAGUCAGUGGUGAAAUCUCCGAGCUUAACUUGGAAACUGCCGUUGAUACUAUAGGUCUUGAAUUAUCUGGAGGUAAGCGGAAUAUGUCUUGUAGCGGUGAAAUGCUUAGAUAUGACAUAGAACACCAAUUGCGAAGGCAGCUUACUACAUAUAAAUUGACGCUGAGGCACGAAAGCGUGGGGAUCAAACA
Molecule: ribosomal RNA, 421 nt
Filed under: uncultured bacterium
Lineage: Bacteria
Description: bacterial SSU rRNA
Rfam family: Bacterial small subunit ribosomal RNA
Source: RNAcentral